This is a long non-coding RNA of Rhineura floridana, 534 nucleotides long. RefSeq lists it as uncharacterized. The record is from RefSeq and is a predicted model, not a curated record. Lineage: Eukaryota; Metazoa; Chordata; Lepidosauria; Squamata; Rhineuridae. The transcript has 3 exons.
UCAACCCUGAUAUAAAACAUCAAGCUAAACCAAACUAAACUAGGGGAAUAAUCUCUGUCCCACUCAUUUUGUUGCUUUUUUCUAUGGGAUGUUUUUGUUGGCUGGGCGUUUAGAUUCUGCAGGUCUGCCUCCCGUUAUCUCCUUUGGUGUUUGUUUGCUUCCUAUAACCGACUGUCUGGGAGAAACAAAGAUAGCUGCUCUUUUAGAAAAUAAUGAGACUGUGAAAAUAAAAAUCUGGACUUAACCAACAGACGAACAGAAAAGGAAAAUAAAGGAAAUUCCCGGCUCUGAGAAGGUUUGGGAGACACCAGAAAUGGAGGAUGACAAUGAAUGAUCUGCGUGGGACCACAGGUUUUUUUUUUAACUAAAAGAAAAGGGCUUUGAAGUUUGCAAUUGGAAAAUUCCGAAUUUUCUCUACUGGACUUUCUGCAAGCAACUUCUUCAUUUAUGUCUUGCUGAAUGCAUUGGACUUUGGGAAUUAUUAUGUUAAGAAGAUAUAUGAUAUAUUCUGUUGGCAUACAUGGUGUUAUGUUC